GCUGGGGUAGCUCAGUUGGUUAGAGCACCAGAUUGUGGAUCUGGGGGUCGAGAGUUCAAGUCUCUCCCCCAGUA
This 74-nucleotide transfer RNA is filed under the name Candidatus Zixiibacteriota bacterium. RNAcentral describes it as "candidate division Zixibacteria bacterium tRNA-His". It matches the Rfam family "tRNA". Rfam says of the family: Transfer RNA (tRNA) molecules are approximately 80 nucleotides in length. Their secondary structure includes four short double-helical elements and three loops (D, anti-codon, and T loops). Further hydrogen bonds mediate the characteristic L-shaped molecular structure. tRNAs have two regions of fundamental functional importance: the anti-codon, which is responsible for specific mRNA codon recognition, and the 3' end, to which the tRNAs corresponding amino acid is attached (by aminoacyl-tRNA synthetases). tRNAs cope with the degeneracy of the genetic code in two manners: having more than one tRNA (with a specific anti-codon) for a particular amino acid; and 'wobble' base-pairing, i.e. permitting non-standard base-pairing at the 3rd anti-codon position. RNAcentral also lists the same sequence under 1 other name. The record is from RNAcentral. Lineage: Bacteria; Pseudomonadati; Candidatus Zixiibacteriota.